GGGAAUUUUAGGGCAGAUUUGGACCGAUAACCCAGUUUGGGCAAAAUUAGACUCCGGCAUCUGGAUUUGACCUCGGGCCCUCAACGCGGUCCCGGGGGUCACUCAGGGGUCGCGGGGCACAAAGCUGAGCGCUGACCCGGCACAGGUCAAGCAUGCGGGCGGCUGAAAGGACGCCUUUGUGGGGGCUGGCAUGCUCACUAUUUCCCAUGAGCACCAGGGGACCGUGUCUGCCCAGGAAACUGGAGCGGGGAGACAGUCGAGGUGUGUGCGUGCGUGCGCGCGUGUGUGCGCGUGUGUGUGGAAACCAUAAUUGAUUUUUGUUUAUAAGUUCCUGCUUGUUUGCUUGUGAUUAUCACUGAAUGAAGGUCGCAGUUGAGCCUGAUUUUUAUUUAUUACCGGGGAAUGUGUUUAUUUCUUGUGCUUUUCGGAGGGCGGGGCUACAGGUGGAAGCCACUCCCCGUGGCCCGGCCUUCAACGCUCCCUUUCAAACGCGGUCAUGCCGCCCUGCGCGCCCGAGAAGUCGGCACUGUGGAGACGUCUGUCCGUGCGGCGGUCAGACAGACACGGCACGCACUCCGAGAGGCCAGACUCAUAAAGCGAAGACGUGACAGAGCGGCGCUGAUGGGUCAAUAUGGCCGAUCCUCACACCCCCCCCCAUGGAUGCUCAAUCACAUUCAUGUAUGC
Gasterosteus aculeatus aculeatus (three-spined stickleback) is the source of this 684-nucleotide long non-coding RNA. Lineage: Eukaryota; Metazoa; Chordata; Actinopteri; Perciformes; Gasterosteidae. The record is from Ensembl.